RNAcentral lists this long non-coding RNA (211 nucleotides) under Mytilus galloprovincialis (Mediterranean mussel). The record is from RNAcentral. Lineage: Eukaryota; Metazoa; Mollusca; Bivalvia; Mytilida; Mytilidae.
CGUGUGGCUUUAUCAACAAUUGUAAUAACACUGAACGGUGACCAGUGAGAUGCCCUAACUGCAGUGACGUCAUUUAGAACUGUUCUACAAUCCUGACAGGUUUGGUCAGUUAUACAGCUAGAACAGUUUUAGACAGAUGACCAAACCUUUAACACAAAAUAGACUGACACGAUCGCAAGAUAUUCUCGAUUAAAGCUAGAUUGACACUGCC